Molecule: unclassified non-coding RNA, 315 nt
Filed under: uncultured fungus
Lineage: Eukaryota; Fungi
Description: partial contains 5.8S ribosomal RNA and internal transcribed spacer 2
Rfam family: 5.8S ribosomal RNA (bases 1-133)
Source: RNAcentral
UGGUUCUGGCAUCGAUGUAGAACGCAGCGAAAUGCGAUAAGUAAUGCGAAUUGCAGAAUUUAGUGAGUCAUCGAGUCUUUGAACGCAUAUUGCGCCCUUUGGUAUUCCGAAGGGCAUGCCUGUCCGAGCGUCAUUAUCAACCCUCAAGCCUGGCUUGUUGUUGGACCCCGCCGUUAGACAGGUCCCAAAGACAAUGGCGGUGCCGGCUGGCCCUGACAUGCGACGAGCUUACAGCACGCAUGGCAGCGACAGCUGACUCGAUCUUUUAUCACAUCUUAAAAGGUUGACCUCGGAUCAGGUAGGAAUACCCGCUGA